CGGAAUGUAGCUCAGUGGUAGAGCACACUGCAAAUGUGAGGUCGCAGGUUCGAUUCCUGCCUUUCCGA
Molecule: transfer RNA, 68 nt
Filed under: Caudoviricetes sp.
Lineage: Duplodnaviria; Heunggongvirae; Uroviricota; Caudoviricetes
Description: tRNA-Cys
Rfam family: tRNA
About the family: Transfer RNA (tRNA) molecules are approximately 80 nucleotides in length.
Source: RNAcentral